This 301-nucleotide ribosomal RNA is filed under the name uncultured bacterium. RNAcentral describes it as "partial 16S ribosomal RNA". It matches the Rfam family "Bacterial small subunit ribosomal RNA", at positions 509 to 807 of the family's 1533-position model. The record is from RNAcentral.
CAGUCGCCGCGGUAAUACGUAGGUGGCAAGCGUUGUCCGGAAUUAUUGGGCGUAAAGGGCUCGCAGGCGGUUUCUUAAGUCUGAUGUGAAAGCCCCCGGCUCAACCGGGGAGGGUCAUUGGAAACUGGGAAACUUGAGUGCAGAAGAGGAGAGUGGAAUUCCACGUGUAGCGGUGAAAUGCGUAGAGAUGUGGAGGAACACCAGUGGCGAAGGCGACUCUCUGGUCUGUAACUGACGCUGAGGAGCGAAAGCGUGGGGAGCGAACAGGAUUAGAGACCCGAGUAGUCCCUGUCUCUUAUAC